This 682-nucleotide long non-coding RNA is filed under the name Phasianus colchicus (ring-necked pheasant). RNAcentral's name for it is "lncRNA (ENSPCLG00000007734.1)". The record is from RNAcentral. Lineage: Eukaryota; Metazoa; Chordata; Aves; Galliformes; Phasianidae.
GAAGCUGUCUUGUCUCACUGCUGAGAACAGUGAGGUACAGUCAGCAGGGCAGGCUGCAAAUAUCAAGGACAAGAUAAAAACAUCUUUUCUGUGGAUAAGCCUGUACAAAAAUCCUGAUGAAAUUACAGCUCCUACUGAUUUUCCUCCUCUGAUAACAGGGCGUCGGUCUCUGGGGAUGGUGGGAUAGCACUGGCAUUGAGGAGGGAUGAAGGAAAGCUAUUGCAGCCUUUUCUUUGUGCUCAUGGCCCAAGCUGAAGCACUGUAGCUCUCCCUGAAGGCAAUGUCCCUUUUCUCUUCUGUUGUAGCUGCAUCUCUGGACCAGACAUUGCCGCUUGCUACCAGCUGCAGUUGCUGUCUGUCAGCCGGAGGGAAGGAGGCUGUUGCUCAUUCUGUGCCAUCUCUGUUAGAUCUGCUGGAUUUGAGUCCUCUGAAAUAUUCAACAGUUGGCCCUGUGGCUGACAAUGGAGAGCCCAGUUCUGCCAGAGUGCUGGAGACCCUCUGCUCCGUGUCCAAGGAAGAAUGGAGGACAGGCAACAUCGCACUGUGUACAGAAGCAGACAGAGCAGCACCUUCUUGCUCCAGCCUGUGUGUCAGAGCUGCCAUCCACCUCAUGCGAACACCUACUGGGAAAUUCAGACCACCUGGGGAGGUAGCAAGCAAGGAGGUAUGUGUGUGGGGUUAG